Molecule: ribosomal RNA, 532 nt
Filed under: uncultured bacterium
Lineage: Bacteria
Description: bacterial SSU rRNA
Rfam family: Bacterial small subunit ribosomal RNA
Source: RNAcentral
AGAGUUUGAUCCUGGCUCAGAAUUAACGCUGGCGGCGUGCCUAACACAUGCAAGUCGUACGAGAAAGGGGCUUCGGCCCUGAGUAGAGUGGCGCACGGGUGAGUAACGCGUGGGUAAUCUGCCCUUGGAUUUGGAAUAACUCCGCGAAAGUGGAGCUAAUACCGGAUAGUCUGGCUUUUUAACGAAGUCGGUAAAGGAUGCCUCUGCAUAUGCAUUCGUCCGAGGAUGAGCCCGCGUCUCAUUAGCUAGUUGGUAGGGUAAUGGCCUACCAAGGCAACGAUGAGUAGCUGGUCUGAGAGGAUGAUCAGCCACACUGGAACUGAAACACGGUCCAGACUCCUACGGGAGGCAGCAGUGGGGAAUAUUGCGCAAUGGGCGAAAGCCUGACGCAGCAACGCCGUGUGAGGGAUGAAGGCUUUCGGGUCGUAAACCUCUGUCAGAAGGGAAGAACGGGCAUUGGUCUAAUAGGCCUUUGUUUUGACGGUACCUUCAGAGGAAGCACCGGCUAACUCCGUGCCAGCAGCCGCGGUAA